Molecule: long non-coding RNA, 93 nt
Organism: Nomascus leucogenys (northern white-cheeked gibbon)
Lineage: Eukaryota; Metazoa; Chordata; Mammalia; Primates; Hylobatidae
Exons: 2
Source: RefSeq, a predicted model, not a curated record
ACUUUGGGAGGCCAAGGUGGGCAGAUCACUUGAGGCCAAGAGUUCAUGACCACCCUGGGCGACACAGCAAGACACCAUCUCUACAAAAGAUUU